RNAcentral lists this ribosomal RNA (463 nucleotides) under Vreelandella stevensii. Its description in RNAcentral is "partial 16S ribosomal RNA". It matches the Rfam family "Bacterial small subunit ribosomal RNA", at positions 339 to 795 of the family's 1533-position model. Lineage: Bacteria; Pseudomonadati; Pseudomonadota; Gammaproteobacteria; Oceanospirillales; Halomonadaceae. The record is from RNAcentral.
CUACGGGGGCAGCAGUGGGGAAUAUUGGACAAUGGGCGAAAGCCUGAUCCAGCCAUGCCGCGUGUGUGAAGAAGGCCUUCGGGUUGUAAAGCACUUUCAGUGGGGAAGAAAGCCUUGGGGCUAAUACCCUCGAGGAAGGACAUCACCCACAGAAGAAGCACCGGCUAACUCCGUGCCAGCAGCCGCGGUAAUACGGAGGGUGCGAGCGUUAAUCGGAAUUACUGGGCGUAAAGCGCGCGUAGGCGGUCUGAUAAGCCGGUUGUGAAAGCCCCGGGCUCAACCUGGGAACUGCAUCCGGAACUGUCAGGCUAGAGUGCAGGAGAGGAAGGUAGAAUUCCCGGUGUAGCGGUGAAAUGCGUAGAGAUCGGGAGGAAUACCAGUGGCGAAGGCGGCCUUCUGGACUGACACUGACGCUGAGGUGCGAAAGCGUGGGUAGCAAACAGGAUUAGAUACCCGUGUAGUC